GUGGGGAAUCUUGCGCAAUGCGCGAAAGCGUGACGCAGCAACGCCGCGUGCGGGAAGACGGCCUUCGGGUUGUAAACCGCUUUCAGUUGGGACGAAGCUCCGUCGGUGAAUAGCCGGCCGGAGUGACGGUACCUUCACAAGAAGCCCCGGCUAACUACGUGCCAGCAGCCGCGGUAAUACGUAGGGGGCAAGCGUUGUCCGGAAUCAUUGGGCGUAAAGCGCGUGUAGGCGGCUUCGUCAGUCCGUUGUGAAAGUCCAGGGCUCAACCCUGGAAUGCCGAUGGAUACUGCGGAGCUCGAGUCCGGAAGAGGCGAGUGGAAUUCCUGGUGUAGCGGUGAAAUGCGCAGAUAUCAGGAGGAACACCAAUGGCGAAGGCAGCUCGCUGGGACGGUACUGACGCUGAGACGCGAAAGCGUGGGGAGCAAACAGGAUUAGAAACCCCAGUAGUCC
This 450-nucleotide ribosomal RNA is filed under the name uncultured bacterium. RNAcentral's name for it is "bacterial SSU rRNA". It matches the Rfam family "Bacterial small subunit ribosomal RNA", at positions 354 to 796 of the family's 1533-position model. The record is from RNAcentral.